This 397-nucleotide ribosomal RNA is filed under the name uncultured bacterium. RNAcentral's name for it is "bacterial SSU rRNA". It matches the Rfam family "Bacterial small subunit ribosomal RNA", at positions 32 to 408 of the family's 1533-position model. The record is from RNAcentral.
AAUCAACGCUGGCGGCGUGCCUCAGACAUGCAAGUCGAACGCGAAAGUUCCCUUCGGGGAGCGAGUAGAGUGGCGCACGGGUGAGUAACACGUAGGUAAUUUACCUUCGGGUGGGGAAUAACAGCCGGAAACGGCUGCUAAUACCGCAUAAUGCAGCGGCUCGACAUCGAGACAGUUGUUAAAGCGGGGGAUCGCAAGACCUCGCGCCUGAAGAGAAGCCUGCGGCAGAUUAGCUAGUUGGUGGGGUAAUGGCUCACCAAGGCGACGAUCUGUAGCCGGCCUGAGAGGGCGGGUCGGCCACACUGACACUGACAUACGGGUCAGACUCCUACGGGAGCAGCAGUCGGGAAUUGUUCGCAAUGGGCGCAAGCCUGACGACGCAACGCCGCGUGGAGGA